CUGCCUGGUAGUGGGGGACGAACGUUUCGAAAGGAACGCUAAUACCGCAUACGUCCUACGGGAGAAAGCAGGGACCUUCGGGCCUUGCGCUAUCAGAUGAGCCUAGGUCGGAUUAGCUAGUUGGUGAGGUAAUGGCUCACCAAGGCGACGAUCCGUAACUGGUCUGAGAGGAUGAUCAGUCACACUGGAACUGAGACACGGUCCAAACUCCUACGGGAGGCAGCAGCC
Molecule: ribosomal RNA, 228 nt
Filed under: uncultured Pseudomonas sp.
Lineage: Bacteria; Pseudomonadati; Pseudomonadota; Gammaproteobacteria; Pseudomonadales; Pseudomonadaceae
Description: partial 16S ribosomal RNA
Rfam family: Bacterial small subunit ribosomal RNA
Source: RNAcentral